ACGGGGCGCAGCAGGCGCGAAAACUCUGCAAUGCGCGAAAGCGUGACAGGGGGACUCCAAGUGUCCCUGUACAACAGGGUCUUUUUAGGUAUGUAAAAAGUACCUAGAAUAAGGGGUGGGCAAGACUAGUGCCAGCCUCCGCGGUAACACUAGCAUCCUCGAGUGGUAGUCGCGAUUAUUUGGCUUAAAGCGUCCGUAGUCGGGCCGUUAAGUCCUCUGUGAAAUCCUGCGGCUUAACCGUAGGGCUUGCAGAGGAUACUGGCGGCCUUGGAGCCGGGAGAGGUUGGGGGUAUUCCUAGGGUAGCGGCGAAAUGCUAUAAUCCUAGGAGGACCACCGAUAGCGAAGGCACCCAACUAGAACGGGCUCGACGAUGAGGGACGAGAGCUAGGGGAGCAAACCGGAUUAGAUACCCGGGUAGUCCUAGCCGUAAACGAUGCGGGCUGAGUGUCUCCUGAACCUCGAGUUCAGGAGGUGCUGAAGGGAAACCGUUAAGCCUGCCGCCUGGGGAGUACGGUCGCAAGGCUGAAACUUAAAGGAAUUGGCGGGGGAGCACCACAAGGGGUGGAGUCUGCGGUUCAAUCGGAUACAACGCCGAGAAACUUACCAGGGGUGACGGCAGUAUGACAGCCAAGCUAAUGACUUUGCUCGACGAGCCGAGAGGUAGUGCAUGGCCGUCGUCAGCUCGUACCGUGAGGCGUGCGGUUAAGUCCGUUAACGAGCGAGACCCGUGCCUUUAUUUGCUACCUCCUCCGCGAGGAGGGGGGCACUAUAAAGGGACCGCUGGCGAUGAGUCAGAGGAAGGCGCGGUCGACGAUAGGUCUGUAUGCUCCGAAUCUCCUGGGCUACACGUGGACUACAAUGGCAUGGACAAUUGGAUGCGACGCCGUAAGGUGAAGCCAAUCCCCUAAACCAUGUCUCAGUUCGGAUCGAGGGUUGAAACUCACCCUCGUGAAGGUGAAAUCCCUAGUAAUCGCUGGUCAUCAUCCAGCGGUGAAUAUGUCCCUGCUCCUUGCACACACCGCCCGUCAAACCAAUCGAGUGAGUCUGGGACGAGGCUUCCUCGUAUGGGGGAGUCAAGUUCCAGGCUCGCGAGAGGGGUUAAGUCGUAACAAGGUAGCCGU
RNAcentral lists this ribosomal RNA (1122 nucleotides) under uncultured archaeon. Its description in RNAcentral is "bacterial SSU rRNA". It matches the Rfam family "Archaeal small subunit ribosomal RNA", at positions 325 to 1450 of the family's 1478-position model. The record is from RNAcentral.